UUUUAAUCUGUGCUAGGGUAUAGCAUAUGUGUGCCCUACAAACAGGGCAAUGUAUUCCUAGGGAAAAGGAGAAGAUGGUGAAGCCCUAGACGACCUAGAAGUUGUGUCGAAGUCUCCGCUAUUGUCGCUGAGGCACCGACUACGACAAUUUCACCAGUUUCUACGCACUGUUAUGGGCAGGUUCGCAUGGAAAACAUGUUCUCACAUGAAGAUUAUCGAGAUGCGGUGAGCGAAUCAUCAGCUCAUGAAGUGAGUGUUUUGUGAUGUCUUGAUUUACAACUCUCUACUCUAUUUCGCAAUUGUCCCUAACAGAUGCACCCUUUACGUAGUGAUCGGUAAAGUAGUCAGCGAAGCAACAAAGUACUUAUAGCCACUUUCUAGAGCAGGAUAAUCUGCUUCAAUACUAACAGUAGGAUCACAUCAAGCCUUUCAACAACGUCGACGUUAGGCAUUCACCUUCCGUUUCCGAUUACGUCUGUAGAACAAUUGUGGCAAUGGAGCGUUUCACAAUAAGUCUUAGUUGAUGCUGUGAAGUGCAGCAUUUGGUGCAGUUUUCAUGCAUCACUGUUGUCUUCCAUCAAAAACGAAACAACGUCGACAUGCUGGAGCAGGAGAAGAACUUCGACAGUAUUUCCCGAUAAGUUCAUUUUCUACAGAAGUUACGUAAUCCGGUGACUAUCAUUUGGUUCUGCUUGCGAUGCUGCUGGAGACGGCUGUAACAAUUAUUGGGUAUCCGUUCAAGCCUGACGUUUUCGGAUGCAUGAUGUUCAACAUCCUUUCUAGUUAUGGAGAGCAAUUGACUGCGACUCAUACAUAAGUUAUGUUCUCUCAGAUCUUUAGUCUCCCACACUGCUCUCAGGUAUACAGAUUCAUGUUGCUGGUUAAAUGUUUGUUGAACGAGUGCUUUGCUCAUCAAAUGCUUCCUCCAGCUCUUGCAAAAUUCCUGCUGCUCAAUACGUUGACCUUGCUAAAUUUCUGUCCGUCCAAGUCGUCCAUCUUUCAACUCCCAUCCCCGGCACACGAAUUGGGAGUCAAAGCUGCAGAUGCAAUAAAGGCAUCAGGUGUACUUCUUCACUCCUGUCAAAUUCUAGAAUCGUGAAGCAGAAGAAAUAUGGAAUGCUGAGUCUGUGAAAAUUGGAAGGAAUUUAACGGGUCUUGAUCACUGACGGCCAUGAAAAUUGUGUGUCGUAUAACUGAAAUGCAAUGGAUUUCCGUAUGAUAGGUCUCCAGGUAGCGUGGUUUUACAGUAUUGUCAGAAUCCAGUGUCAGUCCGUUCCUAUGGACAUGGACACAGGCUUCUGAAAUACGGUGGAUGCAAACCAGGACACAGAAACUCGAAUGUGGGUGAAAUCUCGUCAGCCACCAGAAUUUAUGGUGGAUUUUCAAGUGACAUCACUAAAUGAUGAUGCGCUAUAGAGCAUCUUUCAUCAUCUGUUUCAUCUCCUUUACACGAAAAAGUUUUAGAAGUCAAUCGGUUUGGGGUCUUCUUUGUGCUCACUUGUUGCUUGUAAUCUUAAUGUGCAGUACCGUGAAAGAAGGUCCCUGCAUAAAUGACGUGUUCAUUGUGUGCAUUGGUUCUGGGAUGGGACAUCUCAUGAGCUUGAAGUACAACUCUGCUGCAACUAUGGUGUUACUUGUGUACCAAUCAAUCGUCGUGGAGCACGAUGAUGAACAAGAGAUUGCGGUAUAUCCAGGAGCCUUACUCUGCAUUUAGUUGCCCUUUCAGGAGGCCUCUAUACGUCGACUUGGAGACGCUCCUGUACCCUUGCAUUGCUUUUUGCAGGGAGCUGCUGUAUGUUUGAUUUGCUGGGUUCAGCAGCCACGCUAUCAGGCUUUCCCGGAAGUACUACUGCAUCUCAUCAACAAUGUCGUGAAGCGUAUUUGAAAGCACUUAUACGACCUUCUACAUUUGUGACCGCAAAAAAGUUGGAAUGACUCACAUCAGUUAUAGCGUCGCAUCAUUUUCGAUCAUGAGGGUGCUCACACGCUGCAGAGAGGGAGCGCUGUACAAGAACAUACAGGUAGACCUCGUAACUAAAUUGUAGCUACCUGACUGAAAGCCUUUCAACCAACUGUGCAUAGUUAAUCUGGUAUCCUGCGAAACCCGACAAAAUCUGGCAACCAGGUACAAUAUAUGGACCUGGUUCAUUUGCACAAAACCACGAAUGCUUUUACGUUUUGAUCUGUAAAAAGUUUAACUUCAACUCAUGCUUGGCUGCACCAGACCACCAAAGCUACACCGUGGAGGCUAUUUCUUAACUCUUAUGUGUUAAAAAGUAGAACGGUUCGGUUUCAGGUUGUCAGAUUUCUACGAACUCAAACACAUGAGUCACUAACGCUCAUGUUCAGGUUACACAAGGAAACGUUAGACAUGCUUUUUGCUGAGAUUCUGUGUUACUCUCUGGGUGAUCAGGAAAGCUGGCAGCUUCGACGAUGUGCGCAUCAGCUUUCGGUCCACAUUGCUCAGCACCAGCACCUGUUCAUCAGCUGAAGCUCAUCUGGACGAGUUCCGGGGUCCUCAUACUCAGAAGCCACUCAGCGAAACGACAUAGUUUUUCUUAUUCCGGUGGUGGCCUGACAAGAUCUUCAUUGAUCUCUGGAUAACAGUGCACAGUUAUAUGCAAACAUUGCUGAAUUUCAUUAGUCUACAUGCGCUCCUCAGUGACCAGGUAAGGCCUACGAUUGAAGUUGAGAAGUUUGGUCGGUUCUCGCAAUUAAAAACACAUUCAAUAGUCAUAACAUGAAUACUCAGUCAUACCAUUAUUAGUAACUUUUAAGAUUGCCACAAUUAGAUGCUUGAAAUUCUAGAAAAGAAAAAGUUGGACACUUCCUAAUUUACACCAGCAGCAACAAGAUACCAGCAUCUUUCUCCAACAAGAAGGUACACAGGAAUACAGACCCACCGACGAGGCGGAUUAGGAUAACAGGGGAAAGGAAAGUGGGUCAAAAAUAGACGUUAGACUAAUGACAGCUUGGCCCACUCUCUAUAUUUCGGUUUGCCACCUCCUUUCCAUUUUGUUUCUAUUGGGUCAUGUUUCCUAUUUUAUUGUUACCUCCCUCUCACUUAAUCAUUUCCACUUUCGUGAAGGAUUACAAAUAGAAUGCCAGUUUCGUUUACACUUAAUCAAUCAACCCACAUUUUCCUGAUCUCUUGGUUAUUGGCAAACAUGAAUUUUUCUGCUAUAACCAGGACUUGUCUGGAUUUUCCCGUGAAUCUCGAACGUUCAAGAUUGCGAAAUCUUCCUAUUGUCUGCUUACUGAUCAUAGGGUUUAUCAAGCAGGAUAAAAAGAUGUUUAAAAAUAGCACUUAUAUUCCACCUGUUCGUCUCAUUAACUAGAUUCUGAUCUCAUGGCUUGUUUUUUCAGAGUAGACUUUAAGCUCCAUAAAUCCUUGUUGAUUCGUGGAAACUUACAGAUAAAUCUAUAUCUCAUCUGCUCUUGAUACACCCCGCCACAUAUGUCAAUAGGAAAUCUGGAUUUUGCAUGUUUGCUAAUUAUACACUCAACUGUGCUUUAAUGUUAGUCGUUCAAUAAAUACAUCGAACCUUAGCUAA
Molecule: non-coding RNA, 3554 nt
Organism: Physcomitrium patens
Lineage: Eukaryota; Viridiplantae; Streptophyta; Bryopsida; Funariales; Funariaceae
Source: RefSeq, a predicted model, not a curated record